RNAcentral lists this ribosomal RNA (385 nucleotides) under uncultured Thermovirga sp. RNAcentral describes it as "bacterial SSU rRNA". It matches the Rfam family "Bacterial small subunit ribosomal RNA", at positions 1003 to 1382 of the family's 1533-position model. Lineage: Bacteria; Thermotogati; Synergistota; Synergistia; Synergistales; Thermovirgaceae. The record is from RNAcentral.
AAAGUUGAAGGACUCCGCUUCGGUGGAGAGCGUACACAGGUGCUGCAUGGCUGUCGUCAGCUCGUGUCGUGAGAUGUUGGGUUAAGUCCGCAACGAGCGCAACCCCUGCAUUCAGUUGCCAUCGGGUGAAGCCGGGCACUCUGGAAGGACUGCCAUCGACAAGAUGGAGGAAGGUGGGGACGACGUCAAGUCAUCAUGGCCCUUAUGUCCAGGGCGACACACGUGCUACAAUGGCCGGCACAGCGGGAAGCGGAGGGGCGACCCUGAGCGGAUCCCUUGAAAGCCGGUCCCAGUUCGGAUUGCAGUCUGCAACUCGACUGCAUGAAGUUGGAAUCGCUAGUAAUCGCGGAUCAGCCAAGCCGCGGUGAAUACGUUCCCGGGCCUU